GAUGAAGAACGCAGCGAAAUGCGAUAAGUAGUGUGAAUUGCAGAAUUCAGUGAAUCAUCGAAUCUUUGAACGCACAUUGCGCCCUUUGGUAUUCCAAAGGGCAUGCCUGUUCGAGCGUCAUUUGUACCCUCAAGCUUUGCUUGGUGUUGGGCGUCUUGUCGCUAGCUUUGCUGGAGACUCGCCUUAAAGUAAUUGGCAGCCGGCCUACUGGUUUCGGAGCGCAGCACAAGUCGCACUCUCUAUCAGCAAAGGUCUAGCAUCCAUUAAGCCUUUUUUUCAACUUUUGACCUCGGAUCAGGUAGGGAUACCCGCUGAACUUAAGCAUAUCAAUAAGCGGAGGA
RNAcentral lists this unclassified non-coding RNA (341 nucleotides) under soil metagenome. RNAcentral describes it as "partial contains 5.8S ribosomal RNA, internal transcribed spacer 2, and large subunit ribosomal RNA". The stretch from base 1 to 120 matches the Rfam family "5.8S ribosomal RNA", at positions 35 to 154 of the family's 154-position model. The record is from RNAcentral.